This 200-nucleotide ribosomal RNA is filed under the name uncultured bacterium. Its description in RNAcentral is "partial 16S ribosomal RNA". It matches the Rfam family "Bacterial small subunit ribosomal RNA", at positions 8 to 208 of the family's 1533-position model. The record is from RNAcentral.
AGAGUUUGAUCAUGGCUCAGGACGAACGCUGGCGGCGUGCUUAACACAUGCAAGUCGAACGGAGAAUAUAGCAAUGUAUUCUUAGUGGCGAACGGGUGAGUAACGCGUAGACAACCUACCUCAAAGAUGGGGACAACACCGCGAAAGUGGUGCUAAUACCGAAUGUGCUAAUGUUGCCUCAUGGUGAUAUUAGGAAAGGU